ACAGUGGUGGCUCAGUGGUAGAAUUCUCACCCUCCACGUGGAAGAUCUAGGUUCAAUUCCUGGCCAAUGCA
RNAcentral lists this transfer RNA (71 nucleotides) under Loxodonta africana (African savanna elephant). It matches the Rfam family "tRNA". Rfam says of the family: Transfer RNA (tRNA) molecules are approximately 80 nucleotides in length. Their secondary structure includes four short double-helical elements and three loops (D, anti-codon, and T loops). Further hydrogen bonds mediate the characteristic L-shaped molecular structure. tRNAs have two regions of fundamental functional importance: the anti-codon, which is responsible for specific mRNA codon recognition, and the 3' end, to which the tRNAs corresponding amino acid is attached (by aminoacyl-tRNA synthetases). tRNAs cope with the degeneracy of the genetic code in two manners: having more than one tRNA (with a specific anti-codon) for a particular amino acid; and 'wobble' base-pairing, i.e. permitting non-standard base-pairing at the 3rd anti-codon position. The record is from Rfam by way of RNAcentral. Lineage: Eukaryota; Metazoa; Chordata; Mammalia; Proboscidea; Elephantidae.